Molecule: ribosomal RNA, 498 nt
Filed under: uncultured bacterium
Lineage: Bacteria
Description: partial 16S ribosomal RNA
Rfam family: Bacterial small subunit ribosomal RNA
Source: RNAcentral
GACGAACGCUGGCGGCGUGCCUAAUACAUGCAAGUCGAACGAGAGCGACCGGUGCUUGCACUGGUCAAUCUAGUGGCGAACGGGUGAGUAACACGUGGGUAACCUGCCCAUCAGAGGGGGAUAACAUCCGGAAACGGAUGCUAAAACCGCAUAGGUCUUCGAACCGCAUGGUUUGAGGAGGAAAAGAGGCGCAAGCUUCUGCUGAUGGAUGGACCCGCGGUGCAUUAGCUAGUUGGUGAGGUAACGGCUCACCAAGGCCGUGAUGCAUAGCCGACCUGAGAGGGUGAUCGGCCACAUUGGGACUGAGACACGGCCCAAACUCCUACGGGAGGCAGCAGUAGGGAAUCUUCCGCAAAGGACGCAAGUCUGACGGAGCAACGCCGCGUGAGUGAAGAAGGUUUUCGGAUCGUAAAACUCUGUUGUUAGAGAAGAACAAGUGCUAGAGUAACUGUUAGCGCCUUGACGGUAUCUAACCAGAAAGCCACGGCUAACUACGUG